GCCACCGUAAGGUGAGAGGAAGGUGGGAUGACGUCAAAUCAGCACGGCCCUUAUGUCCAGGGCUACACACGUGUUACAAUGGCCGGCACAGAGGGCAGCUACCUGGUGACAGGAUGCUAAUCUCGAAAAACCGGUCUCAGUUCGGAUCGAAGUCUGCAACUCGACUUCGUGAAGCUGGAUUCGCUAGUAAUCGCGCAUCAGCCAUGGCGCGGUGAAUACGUUCCCGGGCCUU
Molecule: ribosomal RNA, 232 nt
Filed under: uncultured Sphingobacteriales bacterium
Lineage: Bacteria; Pseudomonadati; Bacteroidota; Sphingobacteriia; Sphingobacteriales
Description: partial 16S ribosomal RNA
Rfam family: Bacterial small subunit ribosomal RNA
Source: RNAcentral